RNAcentral lists this ribosomal RNA (394 nucleotides) under uncultured Chrysophyceae. Its description in RNAcentral is "partial small subunit ribosomal RNA". It matches the Rfam family "Eukaryotic small subunit ribosomal RNA", at positions 30 to 432 of the family's 1831-position model. The record is from RNAcentral. Lineage: Eukaryota; Chrysophyceae.
GCUUGUCUCAAAGAUUAAGCCAUGCAUGUCUAAGUAUAAACGACUUUAUACUGUGAAACUGCGAAUGGCUCAUUAUAUCAGUUAUAGUUUAUUUGAUGGUCCUUGCUACUUGGAUAACCGUAGUAAUUCUAGAGCUAAUACAUGCAUCAAGCCCCGACUUCUGGAAGGGGUGUACUUAUUAGAUGGAAACCAAUGCGGGGCAACCCGGAUUCUGGUGAUUCAUAAUAAUUAUCGGAUCGAUCGUAUGAUCGAUGCAUCAUUCAAGUUUCUGCCCUAUCAGCUUUGGAUGGUAGGGUAUUGGCCUACCAUGGCAUUAACGGGUAACGGAGAAUUAGGGUUCGAUUCCGGAGAGGGAGCCUGAGAAAUGGCUACCACAUCCAAGGAAGGCAGCAGG